This 1233-nucleotide ribosomal RNA is filed under the name Triticum aestivum (bread wheat). RNAcentral describes it as "partial small subunit ribosomal RNA". Lineage: Eukaryota; Viridiplantae; Streptophyta; Magnoliopsida; Poales; Poaceae. The record is from RNAcentral.
AUGGACCUUUCAAGCAACAGCCUCGUUGGUAACGUCCCACACCAGCUCUGCAGGCUCCUCCUCAUUGGCAAUCUAGAUUUGUCCAACAAUCUGCUCACCGGGGAGCUCCCGGACUGCUGGUGUAACCUCCACUCUCUGGCGUUCAUGGACCUGUCGAACAACCGGCUCACGGGGAAGCUCCCGAACUGCUGGUGGAACCUCAAGGAUCUGCAGUUCAUGGAUCUAUCAAACAACUCCUUCUCAGGUAAAAUUCCCGUGGCUGUGGCAACCCACCACUGCUCUCUUAGGUCUCUUUACCUUGCCGGAAAUGGCUUCAUUGGUGCCUUCCCGCCUGUUCUAGAGGGUUGCAACUCGCUGGACACCUUGGACAUGGGGAAUAACAAGUUCUUUGGUGUUGUCCCUCCAUGGAUCGGGACUCACAUCCCAUUGUUGAGAAUCCUUAGCCUCAAAUCAAACAAUUUCACUGGAGAAAUUCCUCUAGAGUUAUCACGCCUUUCAGAACUUCAGCUGCUGGACAUUUCAAACAAUAGCUUGACCGGCUCGAUUCCGCUAGCCUUCGGCAGCUUGACCUCCAUGAAGCAUCCACAAAAUCUAUCGACUACGGAACUGCCCAACGAGUGGAAAUACUAUGAUAGAAUCGACAUAAUCUGGAAGGGCCAUGAGCAGAAAUUUGGAAAAGCGAUCCAGUUAUUAACCGGUAUUGAUUUGUCGGGCAAUUUGUUGUCUCGGUGCAUUCCUGAAGAGCUAGCCAACCUUCAGGGCAUCCAAUUUCUAAAUCUGUCGACAAACCAUCUAUCAUGUAGCAUUCCUGAAAACAUUGGUAGUUUGACUUUUCUCGAGUCCCUUGAUCUAUCAUCUAAUGGACUUACAGGAGCCAUUCCGUCGAGCAUCUCGAGCGUACCGUGGCUCACCACGUUGAAUGUCUCGAACAAUCUUUUAUCGGGCAAGAUACCCACCAGGAAUCAGCUUCGGACCCUGACUGACCCAUCAAUUUACUCCAACAAUUCUGGGCUCUGUGGAUUUCCUCUAAACAUUUCAUGUACGAAUACUUCGCUUGCACCAGAUGAGAGAAAUGGUGGAGAGGAGGACCACUGGAUGUACUACUGUGUGAUUGCCGGGAUUGUGUCUGGUCUCUGGUUGUGGUUUGGGAUGCUCUUUACAGUUAAGUCCUGGAGGCGUGGUUUUCUUUCCUUUGUUGAUGGCAUGCAAUGUAGAAUUAUGAAAAAGUUGUGA